CCUACGGGAGGCAGCAGUGGGGGAUAUUGCACAAUGGGGGAAACCCUGAUGCAGCGACGCCGCGUGUGGGAAGACGGUCCUCUGGAUUGUAAACCACUGUCCCCAGGGACGAAAAUGACGGUACCUGGGGAGGAAGCCCCGCGUAACCACGUGCCAGCAGCCGCGGUAAUAGGUAGGGAGCGAGCGUUGUCGGGAAUUACUGGGUGAAAAGGGAGCGUAGGCGGGGAUGCAAGUUGAUGGGAAAAACUACCGGCUAAACUGGUAGUCGCACUCAAAACUGGAGCUCUUGAGUGAAGUAGAGGCAGGCGGAAUUCCUAGUGUAGCGGUGAAAUGCGUAGAUAUUAGGAGGAACACCAGUGGCGAAGGCGGCCUGCUGGGCUUUUACUGACGCUGAGGCUCGAAAGUGUGGGGAGCAAACAGGAUUAGAUACCCGGGUAGUC
Molecule: ribosomal RNA, 440 nt
Filed under: uncultured bacterium
Lineage: Bacteria
Description: partial 16S ribosomal RNA
Rfam family: Bacterial small subunit ribosomal RNA
Source: RNAcentral